Molecule: long non-coding RNA, 2169 nt
Organism: Coturnix japonica (Japanese quail)
Lineage: Eukaryota; Metazoa; Chordata; Aves; Galliformes; Phasianidae
Source: Ensembl
GCCCUGUGCUGCCUGGCUGAUGGUGGAUGCUGCUGUGCUCUCAUUGUGUGCUGGUGGGGGCUCUCGGACCCCAUCCGUCCCCACGUCCCCAGCGGCUGGCGGCACGGUGCUGGGUGCUGGCUCGCUGCGUCGCACCGAAGUGCAGUGGAUGAUGAGUGGGGAUGGAGGUUUGGGCUCCACGGUGCUUUCCCCGCUGGGGCCGGGAGCUGGGGGUCUGUGAGCAGCACCAAAGCUGAGGCUGUAGCUGCUCUUGAGCAGUUUACGCACAUCCCGUGGCUGCGGCACCAAGCUCUUCCCUUUGCUGCCUGGCUCAGCAGCGUUACCUGCAGAGGUCCUGGUUUCUGGGGUCUCUCGUGGUGCUGGUGGCGGCUUCUCCUCCCCACGGCUCUGUGGCCCCAGCCUCACAUCCUGUGCCCGGGAGGUGUAGACGCUGCGGGGCGGCACAGCAGGAGGCACCGAGCUCUUGGGCUCGAAGGGGACGAGCUGUGCCCUGCUGGGCCGGAUGGCGCGCUGCCGCAGGCUGGGCCACGGCUUCUGCGGCUUCUCAAACCUGGGGGUGACGGCCGGCACCUUCCCGUCCCCGCUGCGGCCUUCGAACAGGGCACGUGCUCGCCAGUAUGGGGUCCUCUCUGCGCAGGGCUGGGCAGCGGGCAGGCGCUGGCACUGCACCACCUCCUGGUAGCGCAUCCUCUCGUUGAGCUCGUUGAAGGUUUUCUUCAGCCUGCAGACGUUCUCCCGCGUGGCUUCGCUCAGCACCACUCCCUUGGCCGGACGGUGGGCACCAACAGGACGCAGCCCCAUGUCCACCAGCCUCACGUCCUCGGCCGAGGCGCUGAGGUCGGACUUGGACAACGAGCUGGACUUGCCCUCCAUGCCAUCCCCGAGCAGGUCGGUGCCGGCAGAGGAUGGCCCCGAGGAGGUGGAGCUGCCCCUCAGCACCUUCUGCUGCUCCAUCUUGAUGAGCUGCUCGUACUGCAUCUUCUUGGCCAGCACGUUCCUCACCAGGCUGGAGGCCAUCCUGGUCUUGCUGGCGUCGCCGUCCAAGGAGGCCGUCUUCACGAACUGCUUGUAGUUGAACCUGAAGUCCUCGCCUCCAGCCCUGCCCUUCCCCGGGGGCUCCUUCCUGGCCGGGGGCAGCGGCUGCGGGGCCAAACUGUCCCCCCACGGGAAGAACGCCGCCUCCUUCCUCUCCUUCCUCUUCAGCUGGAUCUGCCGCUUGGGGACGGUCCUCCUCUUGCCGUACCCCUUCUUGGCGUCGCCGCUCUCCAGCUCCACGUCCACACACUCGAACAGCUCCUUGGCCGGCACUCCGGGCAGCUCGGUGCCGCGGGGCUCCCCGCAGGCCGCCCACCGCCGCCCACCGCCGCCGUCCUCCGACAUCGAGUUGGAGAGGCUGGACGAGCUGCACAUGUCCAGCCGGGAGCCGGGGGGGCCCGACAGGCUGCGGAAGGACCUGGCCGUCAGCGCCCGCACUUCGCUGUCGGCCUCGUCCGAGUCGCUGGCCCCGCCGCCCCUCCGCGCCCGCCGCCCCUCGCCCAUCAUCGCCGCCGGUGCCGCCGCGCUCGGCCGCUCCACGAAGGCGACGACGGGCGGCCGGUCUCCGCGCAGGGCGCCCAUGGUCCUGCCCGGCGCCGCGCUAUUCUUAGCCGUGACCGACAGCUGGGGCUGCCGGGCGCGCUCCUCCCGCGGGCCGGAGCCGGGGCCGGGCGGUGGGGGACCCUCGGGGGGCACGUAGGGCGGCGGGGGAGUGAGGCGAACGGCAUCGUCCUCUUCCAGGAACUCCAGGCAGUCGUUGAAGGUGUCGGUGGUCUCCGAGCACCGCGCGGAGUGGUAGGAGGAGAUGGACGAGUCGGACACGCUCUUGGGGAGGUCGUCGCGGGGCAGCACGGACAGCCGCCCGUCCUCCUCCCACGGGGACCCGCGUCCGUCCGCGCCGUCGGGCAGCUCCGCGGGGCGGCCCGGGUCCCUUUUGCCGCGGGGGAUCAUGGUGGGGACGGGCCCGGAGCCGCUCGACCUUCUGCUCCGCUCGCGGCGCUGCCCGGAGCUUCGAUCACAUGCGUGACGGCGGACGCCAGCCCGGGGGGGCGAUGCCAAGAGCCGGGAGGUGCCGGGCGGUGCCGGGAUGCCGCCCCCGGCUCAGGGUCUGCCCUAAGGACCGAGCUGCCCUGA